AGUGAACGCUGGCGGUAGGCCUAACACAUGCCAGUCGAACGGCAGCACAGUAAGAGCUUGCUCUUACGGGUGGCGAGUGGCGGACGGGUGAGGAAUACAUCGGAAUCUACUUUUUCGUGGGGGAUAACGUAGGGAAACUUACGCUAAUACCGCAUACGACCUACGGGUGAAAGCAGGGGAUCUUCGGACCUUGCGCGAUUGAAUGAGCCGAUGUCGGAUUAGCUAGUUGGCGGGGUAAAGGCCCACCAAGGCGACGAUCCGUAGCUGGUCUGAGAGGAUGAUCAGCCACACUGGAACUGAGACACGGUCCAGACUCCUACGGGAGGCAGCAGUGGGGAAUGUUGGACAAUGGGCGCGAGCCUGAUCCAGCCAUACCGCGUGGGUGAAGAAGGCCUUCGGGUUGUAAAGCCCUUUUGUUGGGAAAGAAAAGCAGCAGGUUAAUACCCCGCUGUUCUGACGGUACCCAAAGAAUAAGCACCGGCUAACUUCGUG
Molecule: ribosomal RNA, 492 nt
Filed under: uncultured bacterium
Lineage: Bacteria
Description: partial 16S ribosomal RNA
Rfam family: Bacterial small subunit ribosomal RNA
Source: RNAcentral